This 479-nucleotide ribosomal RNA is filed under the name uncultured bacterium. RNAcentral's name for it is "partial 16S ribosomal RNA". It matches the Rfam family "Bacterial small subunit ribosomal RNA", at positions 28 to 507 of the family's 1533-position model. The record is from RNAcentral.
GAUGAACGCUAGCGGGAGGCCUAACACAUGCAAGCCGAGCGGUAGAGUUUCUUCGGAAACUUGAGAGCGGCGCACGGGUGCGUAACACGUGUGCAACCUACCUUUAUCUGGGGGAUAGCCUUUCGAAAGGAAGAUUAAUACCCCAUAAUAUAAUGAUUGGCAUCAAUUAUUAUUGAAAACUCCGGUGGAUAGAGAUGGGCACGCGCAAGAUUAGAUAGUUGGUGAGGUAACGGCUCACCAAGUCAAUGAUCUUUAGGGGUCCUGAGAGGGAGAUCCCCCACACUGGUACUGAGACACGGACCAGACUCCUACGGGAGGCAGCAGUGAGGAAUAUUGGACAAUGGGUGAGAGCCUGAUCCAGCCAUCCCGCGUGAAGGAUGACGGUCCUAUGGAUUGUAAACUUCUUUUGUCCAGGGAUAAACCUACCCUCGUGAGGGUAGCUGAAGGUACUGUACGAAUAAGCACCGGCUAACUCCGUG